CCUACGGGGGGCAGCAGUAGGGAAUUUUCGUCAAUGGGCGCAAGCCUGAACGAGCAAUGCCGCGUGAACGAGGAAGGUCUUCGGAUCGUAAAGUUCUGUUGAAGGGGAAAAAGAGCGGAGAGAGGAAAUGCUUUCUGAUUGAUAUUACCCUUCGAGGAAGUCACGGCUAACUACGUGCCAGCAGCCGCGGUCAUACGUAGGUGGCGAGCGUUAUCCGGAAUGAUUGGGCGUAAAGGGUGCGUAGGCGGCCUGCUAAGUCAGCGGUGAAAUGCCCCCGCUCAACGGGGUGAAGUGCCAUUGAUACUGCUUGGCUGGAAUGCGGAUGAGGUGGGAUGAAUGUGUGGUGUAGCGGUGAAAUGCAUAGAUAUCACACAGAACACCGAUUGCGAAGGCAUCUCACGAAUCCGCGAUUGACGCUGAUGCACGAAAGCGUGGGUAUCAAACAGGAUUAGAUACCCCUGUAGUC
This 466-nucleotide ribosomal RNA is filed under the name uncultured bacterium. RNAcentral's name for it is "partial 16S ribosomal RNA". It matches the Rfam family "Bacterial small subunit ribosomal RNA", at positions 338 to 795 of the family's 1533-position model. The record is from RNAcentral.